UACAGAGGUCCCAAGCGUUGUUCGGAUUCACUGGGCGUAAAGGGUGCGUAGGUGGUCAGAUAAGUUUGAUGUGAAAUCUCCGGGCUUAACCCGGAAAAUGCAUUGAAUACUAUUUGGCUGGAGGGUUGGAGGGGGGACUGGAAUACUUGGUGUAGCAGUGAAAUGCGUAGAUAUCGGAAGGAACGCCGGUGGCGAAAGCGGCGUGCUGGACCCCUUCUGACGCUGAGGCGCGAAAGCCAGGGGAGCGAACGGG
Molecule: ribosomal RNA, 253 nt
Filed under: uncultured bacterium
Lineage: Bacteria
Description: partial 16S ribosomal RNA
Rfam family: Bacterial small subunit ribosomal RNA
Source: RNAcentral